RNAcentral lists this ribosomal RNA (209 nucleotides) under uncultured bacterium. Its description in RNAcentral is "partial 16S ribosomal RNA". It matches the Rfam family "Bacterial small subunit ribosomal RNA", at positions 568 to 775 of the family's 1533-position model. The record is from RNAcentral.
CGCGCAGGCGGUCGACUUAGUCGGAUGUGAAAGCCCCCGGCUCAACUGGGGAGGGUCAUUCGAUACUGGUCGACUUCGAAGGCAGGAGAGGGAAGCGGAAUUCCCGGUGUAGUGGUGAAAUGCGUAGAUAUCGGGAGGAACACCAGUGGCGAAGGCGGCUUCCUGGCCUGUUCUUGACGCUGAGGCGCGAAAGCUAGGGGAGCAAACGG